UUAGAGUUUGAUCCUGGCUCAGGACGAACGCUGGCGGUGCGCCUAACACAUGCAAGUCGAACGAGCGAGAGAGAGCUUGCUUUCUCAAGCGAGUGGCGAACGGGUGAGUAACGCGUGAGGAACCUGCCUCAAAGAGGGGGACAACAGUUGGAAACGACUGCUAAUACCGCAUAAGCCCACGGUGCCGCAUGGCACAGGGGGAAAAGGAGCAAUCCGCUUUGAGAUGGCCUCGCGUCCGAUUAGCUAGUUGGUGAGGUAAUGGCCCACCAAGGCGACGAUCGGUAGCCGGACUGAGAGGUUGAACGGCCACAUUGGGACUGAGACACGGCCCAGACUCCUACGGGAGGCAGCAGUGGGGAAUAUUGCACAAUGGGGGAAACCCUGAUGCAGCGACGCCGCGUGGAGGAAGAAGGUCUUCGGAUUGUAAACUCCUGUUGUUGAGGAAGAUAAUGACGGUACUCAACAAGGAAGUGACGGCUAACUACGUGCCAGCAGCCGCGGUAAAACGUAGGUCACAAGCGUUGUCCGGAAUUACUGGGUGUAAAGGGAGCGCAGGCGGGAAGACAAGUUGGAAGUGAAAUCUAUGGGCUCAACCCAUAAACUGCUUUCAAAACUGUUUUUCUUGAGUAGUGCAGAGGUAGGCGGAAUUCCCGGUGUAGCGGUGGAAUGCGUAGAUAUCGGGAGGAACACCAGUGGCGAAGGCGGCCUACUGGGCACCAACUGACGCUGAGGCUCGAAAGUGUGGGUAGCAAACAGGAUUAGAUACNCUGGUAGUCCACACCGUAAACGAUGAUUACUAGGUGUUGGAGGAUUGACCCCUUCAGUGCCGCAGUUAACACAAUAAGUAAUCCACCUGGGGAGUACGACCGCAAGGUUGAAACUCAAAGGAAUUGACGGGGGCCCGCACAAGCAGUGGAGUAUGUGGUUUAAUUCGACGCAACGCGAAGAACCUUACCAAGUCUUGACAUCCUCUGACGAACGUAGAAAUACGUUUUCUCUUCGGAGCAGAGAGACAGGUGGUGCAUGGUUGUCGUCAGCUCGUGUCGUGAGAUGUUGGGUUAAGUCCCGCAACGAGCGCAACCCUUAUGGUCAGUUACUACGCGAGAGGACUCUGGCCAGACUGCCGUUGACAAAACGGAGGAAGGUGGGGAUGACGUCAAAUCAUCAUGCCCUUUAUGACUUGGGCUACACACGUACUACAAUGGCGUUAAACAAAGAGAAGCAAGACCGCGAGGUGGAGCAAAACUCAGAAACAACGUCCCAGUUCGGACUGCAGGCUGCAACUCGCCUGCACGAAGUCGGAAUUGCUAGUAAUCGCAGAUCAGCAUGCUGCGGUGAAUACGUUCCCGGGCCCCUUGUACACAC
Molecule: ribosomal RNA, 1365 nt
Filed under: uncultured bacterium
Lineage: Bacteria
Description: 16S ribosomal RNA
Rfam family: Bacterial small subunit ribosomal RNA
Source: RNAcentral